AACAUCCGCUGCAGCUGCUUCGGUGUUAGCCGGCACACUCUGCUGCAUGGGAGGCUGCACAGGACGGACGCGAGCUGCACAACGCUGGGGCCACUCACCUUCUUGCUCGUGUGCGCCUUGCUGCAUCACCAUGGACGUCGUGGCUGCUCCAUGAGCAGCAAGACGAGCAUGUGGGAGGACCAAUUCAGUGCGCACAGGGGGAGC
RNAcentral lists this long non-coding RNA (204 nucleotides) under Setaria viridis. Its description in RNAcentral is "long non-coding RNA (SVIR_LNC003891)". The record is from RNAcentral. Lineage: Eukaryota; Viridiplantae; Streptophyta; Magnoliopsida; Poales; Poaceae.